GGUAAUGAUGAACCCAGGUGACUCCGAGUGUCUCGCUGACGCCAUCACCGCAGCGCGCUGACC
Ailuropoda melanoleuca (giant panda) is the source of this 63-nucleotide small nucleolar RNA. Ensembl annotates it as small nucleolar RNA, C/D box 48. Its record names the gene SNORD48. The record is from Ensembl. Lineage: Eukaryota; Metazoa; Chordata; Mammalia; Carnivora; Ursidae.